CCCCAAGCUGUCGGCUAUAGGUGCGUCCUGCUGGCGGGGAUGAAACCGCCGAUUUGCCGCCGAUUACAUCACUCCCAUUUCUUGCGAGAUUUCUUGACUGCUUCAUUUUCUCUGGCGGUUGCCUGGGUCUAAAGGACCGUGGUCGUCCGGCGGCAAGACGCUUUUAAAUACAAGGCUUUUCUCAAAAUCGACCGGCCAUGUUGGUUUGGACACACAUUCGCAUCAGUUCGUCGCUCAAUCGCGAGUAACAGCCUGCAGUUUGCUAGCUAGCAAAGUCAUCGACUACCAUCGUUUAAAUACCUUGGCCAGAGCAUAACCGGUUAUCUUCACCCAAGAGACCUACUGUUGGUCAAUCGUUUUGGUUUUAAAGAACCAGGUUUCUCCCCAGUAAUCCAGACUCCACUUCACAGAGCCAAGAGUUUGAGUACAACUCGUCAAGUACUAAGCUUUACAACGCCAGCAGCAAAUUUACCCUGGCAGCAUAUGGGUGAAAACGCUGGAGGAGAAAGUCAUCGCUUUGUUAUUGGCCCUUGGACGCCCCUGGCAUCUCGUGUACAGCACAAAGUUUUCACUUAUGAAGAUUUCCAGUGACUCCAGAAUGAAAACCAAGCUCUGAGGGAGGAGAACCAAGCCCUGAGGGAAUGCAAUGCACAAGGAGCUUCGGGUUGACAGCGGCUCACUGGUGAAGCAAGUAGGGACAAUGUUGAAGACGUUUGCUCUCACUGGGCAAUCAGGUGCGUUACCUGAAAGGAGCAUCUGACCGUGAAGGCAGAAAAAGCCGCACAGCUGAGAAGGACCUACAGCCGACCCCUUAAACCUUGGCUGACUACUGACACCCCAGCAUCACUGAACUGGAACACUUUCUUUAUCCUGCAGUCAGUAACAUCAAGAAGCCAGAAGUGCCAGACUACACUCACCAAAUCCACCCUGUUUUUUUUGUAUUUUAACUUUAGUAUUGGCUUAUUUCAUUCCGUCUUAACAAUUCUAUUAUAGUUUCUAAAUCCUAUUUCUUACCUGUUACUUGAUAUUGCACAUUAACUAGUACCAAAAUUCUACUUUCAUUUCA
Molecule: long non-coding RNA, 1066 nt
Organism: Esox lucius (northern pike)
Lineage: Eukaryota; Metazoa; Chordata; Actinopteri; Esociformes; Esocidae
Source: Ensembl